Molecule: transfer RNA, 73 nt
Filed under: Roseburia faecis
Lineage: Bacteria; Bacillati; Bacillota; Clostridia; Lachnospirales; Lachnospiraceae
Description: tRNA-Arg(cct)
Rfam family: tRNA
About the family: Transfer RNA (tRNA) molecules are approximately 80 nucleotides in length. Their secondary structure includes four short double-helical elements and three loops (D, anti-codon, and T loops).
Source: RNAcentral
GUUCUCUUAGUUAAAUGGAUAUAACGACAGCCUCCUAAGCUGUAAUUGUGGGUUCGAUUCCCGCAGGGAACAC